GACGAACGCUGGCGGCGUGCUUAACACAUGCAAGUCGAACGGAAAGGCCCUGCUUUUGUGGGGUGCUCGAGUGGCGAACGGGUGAGUAACACGUGAGUAACCUGCCCUUGACUUUGGGAUAACUUCAGGAAACUGGGGCUAAUACCGGAUAGGAGCUCCUGCUGCAUGGUGGGGGUUGGAAAGUUUCGGCGGUUGGGGAUGGACUCGCGGCUUAUCAGCUUGUUGGUGGGGUAGUGGCUUACCAAGGCUUUGACGGGUAGCCGGCCUGAGAGGGUGACCGGCCACAUUGGGACUGAGAUACGGCCCAGACUCCUACGGGAGGCAGAAGUGGGGAAUAUUGCACAAUGGGCGGAAGCCGGAUGCAGCAACGCCGCGUGCGGGAUGACGGCCUUCGGGUUGUAAACCGCUUUCGCCUGUGACGAAGCGUGAGUGACGGUAAUGGGUAAAGAAGCACCGGCUAACUACGUG
RNAcentral lists this ribosomal RNA (468 nucleotides) under uncultured bacterium. Its description in RNAcentral is "partial 16S ribosomal RNA". It matches the Rfam family "Bacterial small subunit ribosomal RNA", at positions 28 to 507 of the family's 1533-position model. The record is from RNAcentral.